GGGGGUGCCCCGGUUUCGACUGAAGGCUGUCGGGGUGUAGACUGCAAGUAGAGCGUUAACUCUUUAAACUGUCAAAAAACAUAAUUGCAAACGAAGAAAACGAAUCUUUUGCACUAGCAGCAUAGUCUGCUAACGGACCCUUGCGUUGCUGUUCCUAAGCGCUUGGAAUCCGAAACAAUAGGGACUUACUACCGGUAAUGUUUACGGUACCGGAAGGACACUAAAGUAAACUAAGAAUAGACGGGUCGGCGGCUUCGCCUAAGUCUAACUGAAAUAAGUAGAAGCGGCUAAACUUGUAGAUGUUUAUUUCACGCCCUUUAGGACGCGGGUUCGAUUCCCGCCACCUCCAAUA
Molecule: transfer-messenger RNA, 352 nt
Filed under: Spirochaetia
Lineage: Bacteria; Pseudomonadati; Spirochaetota
Also listed under: 1 other name
Description: Spirochaeta_F sp016342385 Standard tmRNA
Rfam family: transfer-messenger RNA
About the family: Bacterial tmRNA, also known as 10Sa RNA or SsrA, is named for its dual tRNA and mRNA-like properties. Its role is to liberate the mRNA from a stalled ribosome.
Source: RNAcentral